UGAGGAAUAUUGCGCAAUGGCCGAAAGGCUGACGCAGCGACGCCGCGUGGAGGAUGAAGUCCGAUAGGAUGUAAACUCCUUUUGUAGGGGAUGAAUACUUCGCUAUAUGCGGAGAUGACCGUACCCUGCGAAUAAGGAUCGGCUAACUACGUGCCAGCAGCCGCGGUAAUACGUAGGAUCCGAGCGUUGUCCGGAAUUACUGGGUGUAAAGGGCGUGUAGGUGGAGCUUUAAGUCGGUGGUGGAAUCCUGCGGCUCAACCGCAGAACUGCUUCCGAUACUGGGGCUCUUGAGUACGGCAGAGGGAGAUGGAAUUCAUGGUGUAGCGGUGAAAUGUGUAGAUAUCAUGAAGAACACCGGUUGCGAAGGCGGUCUCCUGGUCCGUUACUGACACUGAGGCGCGAAAGCGUGGGGAGCAAACAGGAUUAGAUACCCUGGUAGUCCACGCCUUAAACGAUGGGUACUCGGUGCUGGGCCGCGAGGUUCAGUGCCAAAGCUAACGCAUUAAGUACCCCACCUGGGGAGUACGAUCGCAAGGUUG
This 539-nucleotide ribosomal RNA is filed under the name uncultured bacterium. RNAcentral describes it as "bacterial SSU rRNA". It matches the Rfam family "Bacterial small subunit ribosomal RNA", at positions 355 to 896 of the family's 1533-position model. The record is from RNAcentral.